UAGGGAAUCUUCGGCAAUGGGGGCAACCCUGACCGAGCAACGCCGCGUGAGUGAAGAAGGUUUUCGGAUCGUAAAGCUCUGUUGUAAGAGAAGAACGUGUGUGAGAGUGGAAAGUUCACACAGUGACGGUAACUUACCAGAAAGGGACGGCUAAYUACGUGCCAGCAGCCGCGGUAAUACGUAGGUCCCGAGCGUUGUCCGGAUUUAUUGGGCGUAAAGCGAGCGCAGGCGGUUUAAUAAGUCUGAAGUUAAAGGCAGUGGCUUAACCAUUGUUCGCUUUGGAAACUGUUAGACUUGAGUGCAGAAGGGGAGAGUGGAAUUCCAUGUGUAGCGGUGAAAUGCGUAGAUAUAUGGAGGAACACCCGGUGGCGAAAGCGGCUCUCUGGU
RNAcentral lists this ribosomal RNA (387 nucleotides) under uncultured bacterium. Its description in RNAcentral is "bacterial SSU rRNA". It matches the Rfam family "Bacterial small subunit ribosomal RNA", at positions 355 to 733 of the family's 1533-position model. The record is from RNAcentral.